Molecule: long non-coding RNA, 360 nt
Filed under: Fukomys damarensis (Damara mole-rat)
Lineage: Eukaryota; Metazoa; Chordata; Mammalia; Rodentia; Bathyergidae
Description: lncRNA (ENSFDAG00000024485.1)
Source: RNAcentral
UUCUUUUUAGGUGGUUCAAAUGGAAGGCGAAAUCCUCCUUAAUGGGAUCUGAAGGGAGCAUCCUGAAUUAGAAGCCUUGCGCAUUGGGAGCCAUAGACUUCAAGGGUUCCCCCUCUCCACUUAUCCAACACAAAAGGGCAGGAAGGAAUCCUACAACCAGGAAGAAUGUAGACAAACGCCCACACUGGGAUCAAAGACAGCCAGAGAACCAGUAAGAUUGUGUCAGGUUCCAAGUGCCCACAUGGGAGGAAGAGACUUUAGUCCUAAUAAAAGCAGCCAGGGAUAAGAGUUUAUGGUUACUUACCUUUCUGAUGCCCCCUACUCUUCUGGAGUUGUUUUCUAUCUUAUCCUUUCCCCACU